RNAcentral lists this small RNA (64 nucleotides) under Flavobacterium tibetense. RNAcentral's name for it is "Flavo-1 RNA". It matches the Rfam family "Flavo-1 RNA". Lineage: Bacteria; Pseudomonadati; Bacteroidota; Flavobacteriia; Flavobacteriales; Flavobacteriaceae. The record is from Rfam by way of RNAcentral.
AAUUAGCCCUGACAGGAGUGACAUCCUUUUUGAAAAAAAGAUAUAACGGAUGGCAGGAACAUGG